AACAGUUGGGAUCCCCAACUCUAAAUUAAAUGAAAUAUAGGGGGAGUCCCUGCAGUUAUCUGAUUGAGAAAUUGGAAACAGUUGAGAUCACCACCUUUAAAUUAAACCAUAUAUAUUCAUGUAUGAGAACUAAUCAAAUGAAAUAUAGGGAGAGUCCUUAUGGUCACCCUACCCACUCCUGUUUGAUACUUAGAAACAUAUGAGAUCCCCACCCCUCAACCAUAUCUAUUCAUGUAUUGGACAAUAUAACAAAUCAAAUGAAAUAUAGGGGAAGUCACUGGGGUCCCCCACCCCUCCUGUUUGAAAACUUGAUAACGGUCGAGAUCCCCACCCAUAAACCAUAUAUAUAUUCAUGUAUGGGACAAUAUAAAAAAUCAAAUCAAAAAUAGGGGUAGUCCCUAGGGUCCCCUCACACCCUCUUGUGUGUGUUUUGAGAAC
Molecule: long non-coding RNA, 438 nt
Filed under: Mytilus galloprovincialis (Mediterranean mussel)
Lineage: Eukaryota; Metazoa; Mollusca; Bivalvia; Mytilida; Mytilidae
Source: RNAcentral